AACAGGAUUAGAUACCCUGGUAGUCCACGCCGUAAACGAUGGAUACUAGGUGUAGGAGUUAUCGACCCGUUCUGUGCCGGAGUUAACACAAUAAGUAUCCCACCUGGGGAGUACGACCGCAAGGUUGAAACUCAAAGAAAUUGACGGGGGCCCGCACAAGCAGUGGAGUAUGUGGUUUAAUUCGAAGCAACGCGAAGAACCUUACCAGGACUUGACAUCCUUUGAACGCUGUAGAGAUGCAGUUUCCCUUCGGGGCAAGGUGACAGGUGGUGCAUGGUUGUCGUCAGCUCGUGUCGUGAGAUGUUGGGUUAAGUCCCGCAACGAGCGCAACCCCUGUUGUUAGUUGCCAGCAUUAAGUUGGGCACUCUAGCAAGACUGCCGGUGACAAAUCGGAGGAAGGUGGGGAUGACGUCAAAUCAUCAUGCCCCUUAUGUUCUGGGCUACACACGUACUACAAUGGCGACUACAGAGGGAAGCGAUACUGUGAAGUGGAGCAAAUCCCCAAAGGUCGUCCCAGUUCGGAUUGCAGGCUGCAACUCGCCUGUAUGAAGAUGGAAUUGCUAGUAAUGGCAGGUCAGCAUACUGCCGUGAAUACGUUCCCGGGCAUUGUACACACCGCCCGUCACACCAUGAGAGCUGACAACACCCGAAGUCGGUAGU
Molecule: ribosomal RNA, 660 nt
Filed under: uncultured organism
Description: bacterial SSU rRNA
Rfam family: Bacterial small subunit ribosomal RNA
Source: RNAcentral